This 374-nucleotide ribosomal RNA is filed under the name uncultured organism. Its description in RNAcentral is "partial 16S ribosomal RNA". It matches the Rfam family "Bacterial small subunit ribosomal RNA", at positions 527 to 896 of the family's 1533-position model. The record is from RNAcentral.
GUAGGUGGCAAGCGUUGUCCGGAAUUAUUGGGCGUAAAGCGCGCGCAGGCGGGUCCUUUAAGUCUGAUGUGAAAGCCCACGGGCUCAACCGUGGAGGGUCAUUGGAAACUGGGGGACUUGAGUACAGAAGAGGAAAGCGGAAUUCCAAGUGUAGCGGUGAAAUGCGUAGAGAUUUGGAGGAACACCAGUGGCGAAGGCGGCUUUCUGGUCUGUAACUGACGCUGAGGCGCGAAAGCGUGGGGAGCAAACAGGAUUAGAUACCCUGGUAGUCCACGCCGUAAACGAUGAGCGCUAAGUGUUAGGGGGUUUCCGCCCCUUAGUGCUGCAGCUAACGCAUUAAGCACUCCGCCUGGGGAGUACGGCCGCAAAGGCUG